CGGUGAAUACGUUCACGGACCUUGCACACACCGCCCGUCAAGCCAUGGAAGCCGGGUGUACCUAAAGUCGGUAACCGUAAGGAGCCGCCUAGGGUAAAACUGGUGACUGGGGCU
Molecule: ribosomal RNA, 114 nt
Filed under: uncultured bacterium
Lineage: Bacteria
Description: partial 16S ribosomal RNA
Rfam family: Bacterial small subunit ribosomal RNA
Source: RNAcentral